Molecule: ribosomal RNA, 559 nt
Filed under: uncultured bacterium
Lineage: Bacteria
Description: partial 16S ribosomal RNA
Rfam family: Bacterial small subunit ribosomal RNA
Source: RNAcentral
UAGGGAAUCUUCCACAAUGGACGCAAGUCUGAUGGAGCAACGCCGCGUGAGUGAAGAAGGUUUUCGGACCGUAAAGCUCUGUUGUUGGUGAAGAAGGAUAGAGGUAGUAACUGGCCUUUAUCUGACGGUAAUCAACCAGAAAGUCACGGCUAACUACGUGCCAGCAGCCGCGGUAAUACGUAGGUGGCAAGCGUUGUCCGGAUUUAUUGGGCGUAAAGCGAGCGCAGGCGGAAGAAUAAGUCUGAUGUGAAAGCCCUCGGCUUAACCGAGGAAUUGCAUCGGAAACUGUUUUUCUUGAGUGCAGAAGAGGAGAGUAGAACUCCAUGUGUAGCGGUGGAAUGCGUAGAUAUAUGGAAGAAUACCAGUGGCGAAGGCGGCUCUCUGGUCUGCAACUGACGCUGAGGCUCGAAAGCAUGGGUAGCGAACAGGAUUAGAUACCCUGGUAGUCCAUGCCGUAAACGAUGAGUGCUAAGUGUUGGGAGGCUUCCGCCUCUCAGUGCUGCAGCUAACGCAUUAAGCACUCCGCCUGGGGGAGUACGACCGCAAGGUUGAAACUCUA